GAUGAACGCUGGCGGCGUGCCUAAUACAUGCAAGUCGAGCGAACAGACGAGGAGCUUGCUCCACUGACGUUAGCGGCGGACGGGUGAGUAACACGUGGAUAACCUACCUAUAAGACUGGGAUAACUUCGGGAAACCGGAGCUAAUACCGGAUAAUAUAUUGAACCGCAUGGUUAAUAAGUGAAAGACGGUCUUGAUGUCACUUAUAGAAGGAUCCUCGCCGCAUUAGCUAGUGGGUAAGCUAACAGCUCACCAAGGCAACGUUGCGUAGCUGACGUGAGAGGGUGAUCAGCCAGACUGGCAGACGACGAAGGUCCAGACUAAUACGAGAGUCAGCAGUAGGAACUUGUCCGCAAGGGGGGAAAUCCUACCGGAACAACGCCGCGUGAAUGGUGAAACUCUUCUGAUCGUAAAACUCUUUUAUUAAGGAAGACCAAAUGUGUAAGUAUAUAUGCACGUCUUGACGAUACCGAAUCAGAAAGCCACGGCUAACUACGUG
RNAcentral lists this ribosomal RNA (497 nucleotides) under uncultured bacterium. RNAcentral's name for it is "partial 16S ribosomal RNA". It matches the Rfam family "Bacterial small subunit ribosomal RNA", at positions 28 to 507 of the family's 1533-position model. The record is from RNAcentral.